Molecule: ribosomal RNA, 460 nt
Filed under: uncultured bacterium
Lineage: Bacteria
Description: partial 16S ribosomal RNA
Rfam family: Bacterial small subunit ribosomal RNA
Source: RNAcentral
CCUACGGGAGGCAGCAGUGAGGAAUAUUGGUCAAUGGACGAGAGUCUGAACCAGCCAAGUAGCGUGAAGGAUGAAUGCUCUCUGGGUUGUAAACUUCUUUUAUAUGGGAAUAAAGUUCAGUAUGUAUACUGUUUUGUAUGUACCAUAUGAAUAAGGAUCGGCUAACUCCGUGCCAGCAGCCGCGGUAAUACGGAGGAUCCGAGCGUUAUCCGGAUUUAUUGGGUGUAAAGGGAGCGUAGGCGGACGCGUAAGUCAGCUGUGAAAGUUUGCGGCUCAACCGCAGAAUUGCAGUUGAUACUGGGUGGCUGGAGUGCAGCAGAGGUAGGCGGAAUUCGUGGUGUAGCGGUGAAAUGCUUAGAUAUCACGAAGAACUCCGAUUGCGAAGGCGGCUUACUGGACUGUAACUGACGUUGAGGCUCGAAAGCGUGGGGAGCAAACAGGAUUAGAUACCCGGGUAGUC